GAUGAAGAACGCAGCGAAAUGCGAUAAGUAGUGUGAAUUGCAGAAUUCAGUGAAUCAUCGAAUCUUUGAACGCACAUUGCGCCCCUUGAUAUUCCAUGGGGCAUGCCUGUUCGAGCGUCAUUUGUACCUUCAAGCUUUGCUUGGUGUUGGGUGUUUGUCUCGCCUUUGCGUGUAGACUCGCCUUAAAAUAAUUGGCAGCCGGCGUAUUGAUUUCGGAGCGCAGUACAUCUCGCGCUUUGCACUCAUAACGACAGCGUCCAAAAGUACAUUUUACACUCUUGACCUCGGAUCAGGUAGGGAUACCCGCUGAACUUAAGCAUAUCAAUAAGCGGAGGA
RNAcentral lists this unclassified non-coding RNA (336 nucleotides) under soil metagenome. RNAcentral's name for it is "partial contains 5.8S ribosomal RNA, internal transcribed spacer 2, and large subunit ribosomal RNA". The stretch from base 1 to 120 matches the Rfam family "5.8S ribosomal RNA", at positions 35 to 154 of the family's 154-position model. The record is from RNAcentral.